Anopheles gambiae (African malaria mosquito) is the source of this 1462-nucleotide long non-coding RNA. RefSeq lists it as uncharacterized. The record is from RefSeq and is a predicted model, not a curated record. NCBI's taxonomy places the organism in Eukaryota, Metazoa, Arthropoda, Insecta, Diptera, Culicidae. The transcript is spliced from 2 exons.
AGAGAGAUUUCAACUUCCCUUUUCGAAGGUCCAACAAGAAUGUUGAUUCUAUCAAUUCCAACUUAAAUACUGAAGGAACAGUGGCAAAUAAUACAACAAUACUUCCCAUUACGUUUCAUUUACAUCAUAAAGUGCGAUCAAAAUCUUAAUUUAGGGUAAGCCAUUUUCCAGGGAAAAUCCCUGACGAAAGCAAAGCCCGCGCGUUCAAUGACAGCCGGCAAUAUGCCGGCCGGCAGACGAGAAAAAUUCCUUAAAUGAUUCCACACAAAUACGCCACCACCACCCAUAACGAUGAUGAUGAUGGUUGCCGAAAAGCCGGAAAGGAAACGUCGUACAACGCUCAAAAGCAAGCAGCUAGAGGGGAGAAGAGGAAGACUUCUUUUUCUAAAAAUAAUCUACCGGGAUGGGACCAACAGAAAAAAAAGGAAGGAAACAACCAACGCAAAAACGGAAGCAUCUCCCGUGCUCGCUACUCUGUUGGCGACAAAUCCCACACCACAUCCUCUAUAUUUAGGGCGACACUAAACACUGCUAAGACCCAGAGAGCUCACCAUGGUCUACUAGAGAGAGAGAGGACCCGGAAAGGAGCAGGAGCAAAAAGGAUGAGUUUAAGAAGGAUGGAACUCUUUGCGUGGCGCAAUAAUUGCAAGAAGACAAGGGCGGAGGUUGCAACCAGAGCAUAAAUUGCUACCCACUCGCCCAAGUCCAGAGACUCGUGGGUGGGUGUGUAUGUGGGAGAAAGGUUAUACAGAGAGUAAACGGUUGCACGGAAUACAUUGUCAUCUUAUAUUUCGAGGACGACAGGGAGAUCUCCAUGCCAUAGAAAUGGAGCUCAACUGACGUCGUGUACUACACUACACUACCUGCUGCUGCUGCUGCUACCACUACCACCCACUACUACUACACCUUCCUGGCAGCGGAGGGGUAUUUUUAGGUCCCAAUCACGCGCUAGACGGCGCCACACGUCGCUUCUAUUAUAAUUUCAGACAGAGGAUCCGCCGUGCGUCUGCCAAAUCGCUUUGUGCUCCCAAUAAUACAACAACACGGCGUUGGCUCUAUUGCGAGAAGUUGCGUUUGUACGUGGGUGGAUGGCUGACUUGGUUGCAGUACAUGGUAUUAUGUGUGUGUGUGUGUGUGUGUGUGUGUGUGUGUUUGUGUGUAUGUGUGUUUUGGUGCAUAAAUUUAGCUACGUGCGAUAUUCGACACCUAGACCAGGCCGAAAGGAGAGCUUCCCUGCGCACCCACACACGCGCGGCCACGACGGUGAUAUUAAACGGUAGCACGCACCAGUUAGCCGGUAAGGGGGGAAAAAAUGAUACAGACACAGGGGAGAAGAAAAAAUCAAUCGAUUUAUCGUUUGCUGAUGUUCGAUAGAGUCGAUUAAUUAAAUCAUGGGAAAAUGUGUGACGUGUGUGUAGGUCGAGAAUAAAUGUGACGGCUCCUGUUCAGCGGGUGAGAUGAG